This 406-nucleotide ribosomal RNA is filed under the name uncultured bacterium. RNAcentral describes it as "partial 16S ribosomal RNA". It matches the Rfam family "Bacterial small subunit ribosomal RNA", at positions 28 to 526 of the family's 1533-position model. The record is from RNAcentral.
GAUGAACGCUAGCUACAGGCUUAACACAUGCAAGUCGAGGGACCGGCGCACGGGUGAGUAACACGUAUCCAACCUGCCCUUUACUCGGGGAUAGCCUUUCGAAAGAAAGAUUAAUACACGAUGUAAAGGAUGGGGAUGCGUUCCAUUAGGUUGUUGGUGAGGUAACGGCUCACCAAGCCUUCGAUGGAUAGGGGUUCUGAGAGGAAGGUCCCCCACAGUGGAACGUAGACUCUGUCCAAACUCCGACGGGAGGCAGCAGUGAGGAAUAUUGGUCAAUGGGCGUUAGCCUGAACCAGCCAAUUAGCGUGAAGGAUGAAGGCUUAUGGGUCGUAAACUUCUUUUAUAUACGAAUAUGUAUUAUAUGAAUAAGGAGCGGCUAACUCCGUGUCAGCAGCCGCGGUAAUAC